This 500-nucleotide ribosomal RNA is filed under the name uncultured Arthrobacter sp. Its description in RNAcentral is "bacterial SSU rRNA". It matches the Rfam family "Bacterial small subunit ribosomal RNA", at positions 771 to 1266 of the family's 1533-position model. The record is from RNAcentral. Lineage: Bacteria; Bacillati; Actinomycetota; Actinomycetes; Micrococcales; Micrococcaceae.
AACCGGAUUAGAUACCCUGGUAGUUCCAUGCCGUUAAACGUUGGGCACUAGGUGUGGGGGACAUUCCCACGUUUUCCGCGCCGUAGCUAACGCAUUAAGUGCCCCGCCUGGGGAGUACGGCCGCAAGGCUAAAACUCAAAGGAAUUGACGGGGGCCCGCACAAGCGGCGGAGCAUGCGGAUUAAUUCGAUGCAACGCGAAGAACCUUACCAAGGCUUGACAUGAACCGGAAUGAUGCAGAGAUGUGUCAGCCACUUGUGGCCGGUUUACAGGUGGUGCAUGGUUGUCGUCAGCUCGUGUCGUGAGAUGUUGGGUUAAGUCCCGCAACGAGCGCAACCCUCGUUCCAUGUUGCCAGCGGGUUAUGCCGGGGACUCAUGGGAGACUGCCGGGGUCAACUCGGAGGAAGGUGGGGACGACGUCAAAUCAUCAUGCCCCUUAUGUCUUGGGCUUCACGCAUGCUACAAUGGCCGGUACAAAGGGUUGCGAUACUGUGAGGUGGA